RNAcentral lists this ribosomal RNA (241 nucleotides) under uncultured bacterium. RNAcentral describes it as "partial 16S ribosomal RNA". It matches the Rfam family "Bacterial small subunit ribosomal RNA", at positions 524 to 765 of the family's 1533-position model. The record is from RNAcentral.
UACGUAGGGUGCGAGCGUUAAUCGGAAUUACUGGGCGUAAAGCGUGCGCAGGCGGUUUCUGAAGUCCGUUGUGAAAGCCCCGGGCUUAACCUGGGAAUGGCAGUGGAAACUAGGAGACUUGAAUCUGGCAGAGGGGGGUAGAAUCCACGUGUAGCAGUGAAAUGCGUAGAGAUGUGGAGGAAUACCGAUGGCGAAGGCAGCCCCCUGGGCCAAUACUGACGCUCAUGCACGAAAGGCGUGG